CGGGAUUCGGUGUUCGCGGCCGGGCUCGGGGCUCCCAGCUCCGUGGUCCGGCUCUGGCUCCGACGUCUGGAGCGCUCGCCCUCCGUGUCCUCUAGGCUUUUCGCCCUUGAGACCCGGGGAGGCCGAGGCGAGAGUGCUUCUGGAUGGAUCUUCCUUAUCAUCCUAGGAUUGCUCGCCAUCCUCAAGCUUGAAAACCCACUAAAAACCAUUUGAGGGGCCUCUUUAAGUGGUGAGUUGGACAUGGCUGAAGGCUACGGCUGUCCUCUUCCCAGGCGUCUUCCUCUGAGGCUGGCAGAAUAAUGGAGAAAUGAUACUGACUGUAUGAAAGCAUCCCCUUCGGCCAACUCCUGUCUUCCUGGGAAGGCCCCCUGGAAGAAACAGCUGAAGAAGUUGAAGCUGAAGAGUUCCAAUGCCUUGCCAAGACCAUUCUGUUGGCUGGGAGAACACAUCCCUGCCUAGCUGGAGGAAAGUAGGAGAGCGUCCGAAGAGGCUGGCAGCUUCAUUUUGCAAACACACAGGUGCUG
This is a long non-coding RNA of Cervus elaphus (red deer), 524 nucleotides long. RefSeq lists it as uncharacterized. Lineage: Eukaryota; Metazoa; Chordata; Mammalia; Artiodactyla; Cervidae. The transcript has 4 exons. The record is from RefSeq and is a predicted model, not a curated record.